This is a non-coding RNA of Paramuricea clavata, 593 nucleotides long. The record is from the annotation of a GenBank genome assembly. Lineage: Eukaryota; Metazoa; Cnidaria; Anthozoa; Malacalcyonacea; Plexauridae.
GUGCAAGCAAACUUCGCGAAGGGCGAAUGCAAAUAAAUACAGAAUAUGAAAUAAAAGAUAUAUAAACACAAAGAUCUUCUUACAAUUUCGUUAACCUACUGGCGGCGGCAAUCUACAUACUUUUGCUAAUCUUGUCUAUCGAAGGAAUUCGAAGAACGGAAGAAGUAUGAAAAUUGACAAUUUAAAAAGAUGAAUCACAAUCAAAAAUUGGCUAUUUUAUAUGAUAGAUCUCUAAAAGUCCAUUUAAUAUUGACAGGAAUGCUUUGCUACAUAAAUUAUAGCCUAUAAUGGACUCAUUAUUGGAUAAAAAAGACGACAAUUUUAAUUAUUUUAAAGAACCUGACUGGCAAGGCUAUGCAGUAUGCAUUAAGUGUAUAAAUUGUAUGUAUAUUUUAUUAUUAAAACCUAAUACAGUUCUUAAAUUUUUAAAUUGAUUUUGUCUGUCCUUAUUUUUUUAUCAGCAUCAUUGAUGCUGAUUUUUGAAAAUACCACUUCUAAAGCACAUGUCUAUGUUAUAUUAUAUUGUGGAAUUUUUCAAUUUGACAUGCAUGUAGAAAUUUUAAAUAUAUAAUUCAUCUAAUUAUGAUGUACAG